AUGUCAUGCGAUAUUUAUGACAGCUGAGCAAGAAUAUUUCAUCGAACUAAAAUUUGAAAUGAUGACAAAAUAGCAUAAAAAACAGUUUGUUAGAAUGGUGAAAUGUAUAUUUAUUUUGCAUUAUUUCUGUCUUGAAAGAUAUUUUUUUUUUUCUUUUUUUCCCGACCGACCGACCCGACUUUUUCAUGGGGAAAAUCCGUAAACCG
Molecule: long non-coding RNA, 206 nt
Filed under: Mytilus galloprovincialis (Mediterranean mussel)
Lineage: Eukaryota; Metazoa; Mollusca; Bivalvia; Mytilida; Mytilidae
Source: RNAcentral